Molecule: long non-coding RNA, 1224 nt
Filed under: Oncorhynchus kisutch (coho salmon)
Lineage: Eukaryota; Metazoa; Chordata; Actinopteri; Salmoniformes; Salmonidae
Description: lncRNA (ENSOKIG00005049774.1)
Source: RNAcentral
GUAGUUGACUCAAAGAGAAAGACAAUAGUUGAACAGUUUUGAACAAAUUGAAUUUCUUCCAAAAAAUGUUUUUAUUUAUUUAACUAGGCAAGUCAGUUAAGAACAAAUUCUUAUUUUCAAUGACGGCCUAGGAACAGUGGGUUAACUGCCUGUUCAAGGGCAGAACGACAGAUUUGUACCUUGUCAGCUCGGGGGUUUGAACUUGCAACCUUCCGGUUACUAGUCCAACGCUCUAACCACUAGGUUUCUCCUAGGAGAAGGAGAAGCUAGAGAUUCACUUUCAGUUUCACUUGCUUAGCUAGAAAAUGCAGCUAGAUACAGUUGUUUAGCCUACUCAAACACCCUGCUAAAACAGAGGGAAGAUAUGUUAGCUAGCUGGCUAUGACUAUCCAACACAACACUGGAACUCUUCUAAGGUAAGCUUUGGUUUGACACCCUGCUAAAACAGAGGGAUGAUAUGUUAGCUAGCUGGCUAUGACUAUCCAACACAACACUGGAACUCUUCUAAGGUAAGCUUUGGUUUGACACCCUGCUAAAACAGAGGGAUGAUAUGUUAGCUAGCUGGCUAUGACUAUCCAACACAACACUGGAACUCUUCUAAGGUAAGCUUUUGGUUUGACACCCUGCUAAAACAGAGGGAAGAUAUGUUAGCUAGCUGGCUAUGACUAUCCAACACAACACUGGAACUCUUCUAAGGUAAGCUUUUGGUUUGACACCCUGCUAAAACAGAGGGAUGAUAUGUUAGCUAGCUGGCUAUGACUAUCCAACACAACACUGGAACUCUUCUAAGCGGAACAACAUGGAGGACCAGGCAUAAUGAAUUACUGUGUUGUGUCUCUACAGCUGAACAACAUGAUGGAGGACCAGACAUACUGCUGUGCCUUCUGAUGCAUGGUAACAUGCUCCCUUUGUCCUGAUCUUGUCCACAUUCUGAUUGUGCCCACAUUUUUAGACAGGUGUAGACGAUUAAAAAAACACAUUGUGAUCUGAUCUGCGUGACCACAUGUAGGUAGCCAGGCACGCUUUAUGUCUUGAUAUUAAUCAAGUGUAAACACAUCUGGAUGGUAAUUUAAAUCUUCAUUAUUCUGGCCUCGAAAAUCAUUGACAGAUCGCAUACUAUUUAUGGUGCUUUCAAGACAACUGGGAACUCUAUAAAAAAAAAAUAGGUGACGUCAGUGAUCUUCAGGUAGUAAAAUCUAGUUCUAGAAAGGUGCCAGAGUAUCC